CCUUCUCCUUACUUAGUUCAGAAUGACAUAUAUAGUCAUUACGUAUGACCGUCUUUGGAAUCUCACGUGGGUUCCUGUAUGUACAAAAUCAAAUUUGAUCUUCCCUUAUUAAUGUGUCUCAGGUCGAUCGGAUUCUCAGACCAGCCAGAAGAAACUUGAAGGGCAGAGGAAAGGUUCUCCUCGCCAACAGAGAUAACCCACGGGACACCCAGGGAGUUGUUUCUCGCCCCAGUCCUGAAGGGCACAGACCAUCUGGCAGCUUCCAAAGGAAGGCUUUGCCCUCCCUGCCUUGGACUGGACAUCCAAAUGCUGACCUAGGGAGACCAGAGGCCACUCUUGAGCUGCCUGAACACUCAAUGAUCUCCGAUCAACAGGGCCUCAGUGUGACCUGGGGGCUUCUGAGCCCGAGAAUGAGUGUGGCUUUCAUGUGGCAAGACCGUCUUCUCCGAAGGAAGGAGGUCUGAGGAGGCCCCGGUGUCUGAGCCAGGCCUCAACUCCCCCAGCCGACUGUUCUGCGUUAGAACUGCUUGUCCAAAAGUAGGAAAUGCUAAAAGCACAUUUAUCACUAUCUUACUGAGGCCCGAGGAAAAGGUUUUGCCAAAAACAAACAGCCUGGAACCCAGAGCUUUAACCAGAUGAAGAGAUUCUAAUCUUUAAGAACUGCUGAUACUCAAACAAACCAUCCUGUCAAAGGACUUGGCACUCUGGUGUUGUCUCCCUGAAAGCUCCAGGCACCAUCCGGGCGUCCGUCCGGCCAGUGUCUGUGAGGUAGACAAGUGUGUUUCUCUUUACGUGGGCUGAGA
Mustela erminea (ermine) is the source of this 803-nucleotide long non-coding RNA. RefSeq lists it as uncharacterized. The record is from RefSeq and is a predicted model, not a curated record. Lineage: Eukaryota; Metazoa; Chordata; Mammalia; Carnivora; Mustelidae. The transcript has 3 exons.